UUACUGUUGAUUGUGACGAAAUGCCAGCUGAGGCACAUGCCUUGGGAGCUAAGUGGUUGCUGCCCUUGACCACUGUGAAGACUGGUGUGGGAAGGGUCGCUUUGGAUGCACUUGAGCAGGGGUCCCCAACCCCUGAGCCAUGGAGCCGCAAGGAGCCACACAGCAGGAGGUGGGACCAUUCAGUUGCAGGAAAACAAGCUUAACACGCCCACUAAUUCUACAUUAUGCUCCUACCUCCCGGCAGCCUCUCCAGGCCCAGAACUUUCUCCAGUCAGCCUCUACAGACCAAGCUCAUGACUCACAAUGGCCUAUUUAGGCCCAUACCCUAUGUCACGGCAGCCUCCGCAGAUGAGGCUACUGCCUCACAACAGCCUCCACAGGCACAGCUCCAUCGUUACAAUGGCCUCUUUAGACCCAGCUCCUGCCUCCCAGCCUUCUCUCCAGGCCCUGAACUUUCUCAAGUCGACCUCACCAGGCCCAGCUCAUGCUUCUUUGCAGCCUCUCCAGGCCCAGCUCCUGCAUCUUGGUGGCCCCUCCAGGCCCAGCCUCUGCCUCCCGUCAGCCUCUACAGUCCCAAAGUCUGCCUCACAGCAGAUUCUUCACGCCCAGCAUCUACCUCACUGUGGACCCCCCAAGCCAAGCUCCCAACCUUUCAGCAGCUUCUACACACCUAGCUCCUGCCACCCAGUGGCCUCUUUAGGCCAAGCUCAUGCUUCACAAGGGCCUUUCCAGGCCCAACUUUUGUCUCAUGGCAACCUUCCCUGGCCAGAUUCCUGCCUGUCUCCCAGCAGCCUAGACAGGCCCAGGUCUUGCCUCACACUGGCCUCUCUACAUCCAGCUUAUGCCUCACGGUGGCCUCUCCACGCCCAACUCCUGUCCCAGGACGUCAUCUCCGGGCCCAAAACUUACUCAAGUCAGACUCUCUAGUCCCAACUGCUGCCUCCUGGUGGCCUAUGAAGGCCCAAAAUCUCCUCAAGUUGACCUGUCCAGGCCCAGCUCCUGCCUCCUGUCAGCGUCUACAGGCCCAACCUCUGCCUCAUGGGGGCUUCUCCAGGCCCACCUCUUCCUCUUGGCUGGGUCUACAGGCACAACUGCUGCCUCACAACAGCCUUUUUUGGCCCAGUUCCUGUCCAGCUCAUGGCGGCCAAUGUAGGCCCAAAACUUCCUCAAGUCAAACUCUCCAGGCCCACCUUCUGCUUCCCGGUGGCAUCAACAGGCCCAGCUUUGACUUGAGAACAGCCUCUGCAGGCCCUGCUCUUGCCUCCCAGGGGCUUUUUCCAGGCCCAGCUCUUGCCUCAUGGCAGCUGCCCCAGGCCAAAUUUCUGCCUGCCUGCCAGCAGCCUCAACAGGCACAGCUCCUCCCUCACAGUGGCCCAUUUAGGCCCAACUCAUGACUGUGAGUCCAUUUCCAGGCCUAGUGCCUGCCUCGUGGCUGACUCUUGAAGCCCAAAACUUCCUCAAAUCAGGCUUUUGCCCAACUUCUGUCUACUGUCGGACUCUACAGGUCAGCCUCUGCCUCACAGUGGACCCUCCAGACCCAGAUGGUGUCUCACUGUGGCAUCCUCAGGCGAAGCUCCUGCCUUUCGGCAGCCUCUCCAGGCCCAGCUCCUCCUGCCUCCCAGUGGCCUCUUUCGGCCCAGCCCAGCUCAUGCCUCCCGGCGGCCUUCCCAAGCCCCGCUUUUGACUUUCGGUGGCCUCUGCAGGCCUCGACAAGGCCCAGCCUCCUGCCUCCCGAAGGCCUGCACAGGCCCAGCCUCUGCCUCACAGCGGACUCUCCACGCCCAGCUAGCUGUUGCUUCACUGCGGCCUCCCGAGUCCAAAGCUCCUGCCUCUCGGCCGCUUCGGCAGGCCCAGCUCCCGCCUGCCAGUGGCCUCUUCAGGCCCAUGGGGCUCAUUCCUGACAACAGCCUUUCCAGGCCCAGUUUUUCCCUUCCGGCGGCCUCUCCGGGCCCAGAACCUCCUCAAGUCGGCCUCUCCAGACCCACUUGCACCCUCCGGGCGUUCUCUCCGGGCCCAGCUCUUCUUCCUGGUUGGGUCUCCAGGCCCGAUUCCUGCCUCUCAACAACCUCUUUGGACUCAGUGCCUACCCAUCUCCUGGCGGCCUUGGUCGGCCCACAGCUUCCUCAAGCCAAGCUCCCCAGGCCCAGGUCAGGCCUCACGGUGGCCUCUCCAGGAUGAGCUCCUGCCCUCCGAUGGCAUCUCCAGGCCCCAAAUGGUCUCCGGUCGGUGGGCUCCUCCACGCCAAGGUUGGGCCUCCCGGCGACCGCCGCAGGCCCAAGUUGUCCUGAAGUCAGGCUCUCCCGGCCCUGCCUCCCAGCAAGUAAGCAAGCUCUUUUGGCUCAACUCCUGCCCAGCUCCCAACCGCCUUUGUAGGCCCCGAACUUUCUCCAGCCAAGCUCUGAGGGCCCACCUCCUGCCUCCUGGUGGCCUGUACAGUUCUAGCACUGGUUGGAGAACAGCCUCUGCAGGCCCCUCCCUUGCCUCCCAGGGGCCUCUCCAGGCCCAGCUCUUGCCCCCACGGCGGCCUCCCGGGGCCAAGUCCCUGCCUGCCUCCCAGCAGCCCGCGUGCGGCCCAGCUCCUCCCUCACGGUGGCCUGUUGAUGCCCAACUCAUGCCUCUGGCACCCUGCCCAGAGGCGUGAGCCCCUGCCUCACACUGGCUCCUCCCACGCUGAGAGAGGUCAGUGUGAGCCCUUGCCUCACACCGGCCCCUCCCACGCGGACAGAGGUCAGCGUGAGCCCCUUGUCUCACACCGGCCCCUCCCACGCUGAGAGAGGUCAAUGUGAGCCCUUGCCUCACACCGGCCCCUCCCACGCGGACAGAGGUCAGCGUGAUCCCCUGCCUCAACAGGCCACCGUGAGGGAGGAACAGGAUCGCACUCGGGCUGCUGGGAGGUAGGCAGGGACUUGGGCCUGGGAGGUCGCGGUGGGGCGAGAGCUGGGCCUGGAGACUCCCCUGGGAGGCAACAGCGGGGUCUGCAGACGCCCUUCUCCAGCCGGAGCUGGGACUGUUCAGUCACUGGGAGAAGGGAUGUGGGUCUGAAGAGCUUGGUUGCAGAAACUUCGGGGUCUACAAACGCAGGCGGGAGCUGAGCCAAAAGAGCUUGUUUGCUGGGAGGUGGGAGAUGCAGCCAGGAGGAACAGCUGGGCAAUGCGGGAGGCAGAGGCCAGGCCUCCUCAAGUUGGCCUCUCAGACCCACUUGCAGCCUCCCGGCGCCCCCUCCGGGCCCAGCUCUUCCUCCCGGCUGCAUCUCCAGGCCGGACUCUGGCCCGACUCCAGGUCCCAACAACGUCUUUGGACUCAGCUCCUGCCCAGCUCCCAGCGGCCCUGGUAGGCCCACAACUUCCCUAAGCCAAGCUCCCCAGGCCCAGCUCAGGCCUCGCGGUGGCCUCUCCAGGCUCAGCUCCUGGCCCUCCGAUGACAUCUGCAGGCCCCAAAUGGCCUCCGGUCGGUGGGCUCCUCUAGGCCCAGCUUGGGCCUCCCGGCGGCCUCUGCAGGCCCAAAUCGUCCCGAAGUCAGUCUCUCCAGGCUUAGCUCCAGCCUCCCGGCGGCCUCUGCAGGCCCAAGUCGUCCUCAAGUCGGCCUGGAAGUGGGCCUGGAAGAGCAGCAAGUCGGCCUCCCUGGGCCCAGCUCCGUCCUCUCGACGGCCUCUCCAGGUGCAAAACUUCCUCGAGUCAGCCUCUCCAGGCCCAGCUCCUCCUGCCUCCCAGUGGCCUCUUUCGGCCCAGCCCAGCUCAUGGCUCUCGGCGGCCUUCCCAGGCCCCGCUUUUGACUUUUGGCAGCCUCUUCAGGCGCAGAACUUGAUCUCCAGUCGGCCUUUGCAGGCCCGGCCUCCUGCCUCUCGAAGGCCUGCACGGGCCCGGCCUCGGCCUCGGCCUCACAGCAGACUCUCCACGCCCAGCUAGCUCUCGCCUCACUGCGGCCUCCCCAGUCCAAAGCUCCUGCCUUUCGGCCACUUCGGCAGGUCCAGCUCCUGCCUGCCAGUGGCCUCUUUAGGCCCAGCUCAUUCCUCACGUCGGCCAUUCCAGGCCCCGUUUUUCCCUUCCGGCAGCCUCUUGGCCUCUAAUUUGUUUAUCUUUUGUGUAUAAAUCCCAAAAUAUUGAAUUUUGGAAUAUUUCCACCAUUAUGUAAAUAUUUUGAUAGGUAAUUUAUUUGGAGUGAGUUUCUGCGCCAAGCCCGAAUUUUUUAUUUUAUUUUCCUUAUUAUUUGGUGUUAAACAGGUUUAAUGACGGUCAUGGCAACUUUUUGGCACAAUGAAAAAUAUCGCCCACGA
This 4273-nucleotide long non-coding RNA is filed under the name Homo sapiens (human). RNAcentral's name for it is "non-protein coding lnc-OR4F16-15:8". The record is from RNAcentral. Lineage: Eukaryota; Metazoa; Chordata; Mammalia; Primates; Hominidae.